Molecule: ribosomal RNA, 244 nt
Filed under: uncultured bacterium
Lineage: Bacteria
Description: partial 16S ribosomal RNA
Rfam family: Bacterial small subunit ribosomal RNA
Source: RNAcentral
GACAGAGGUGCCGAGCGUUAGGCGGAAUCACUGGGCUUAAAGCGUGUGUAGGCGGGCCGUUAAGUGUCUUGUGAAAUCCCCCGGCUCAACCGGGGAAUUCCUGGGCAUACUGGCGGUCUUGAGCAAUCUAGGGGCAGAUGGAACAAGUGGUGGAGCGGUGAAAUGCGUAGAUAUCACUUGGAACGCCAAAGGUGAAGACAGUCUGCUGGGGAUUUGCUGACGCUGAGACACGAAAGCCAGGGGA